RNA transcript from Neopsephotus bourkii (Bourke's parrot), 673 nucleotides. It is a transcript of the gene named neuromedin S, with no coding region annotated. The record is from RefSeq and is a predicted model, not a curated record. Lineage: Eukaryota; Metazoa; Chordata; Aves; Psittaciformes; Psittacidae. The transcript is spliced from 9 exons.
CUCGCACCGGUCCGGGGGCGCGGCGGCGGGAGUGGUGCACGGGGCCGCCCCGGUGCCCAUUGGCUCUGCUGCGGCCCGGGCUCGACGCGGCCCCAUAAAGGCAGCGGGUCGGUCCGUCCAUCCGCUCGGCUGCCGCUGCCCAGCCAUGCCCUCUCCGCAACACGCCCUGCCCUGGCUGCUCGCCGCCUGCUGCCUCUGCGCCCUCCCGCGGGGCUCAGGGUUCCCCCAGCCUUUUUCGCUCUCCUGGGACGGCGCGGACCUGUCCAAAAGCCAGCAGCUGGCAUUGUGUUUCAGUCAGUGGAUGGAACUGUCUAAUCAACCCCAGAUCUCCAGCACUGUUUUGGAUCUCUGUUAUUCCAUAUUCAAUAGCAUGCAAACAAAUGAGAGCUCAAGAACCAAAACAUCCACUUACUUCUGGGGAAUCACAGAUUGCUGCUGCAAAGUUUACAAAGAAGGAUAGUCAUGCGACUCUGGGACGGCCUUUUUUCCUUUUCAGGCCUCGGAAUGGAAGAACUGUUGAAAGCAGUGAAUACCAUGGAAUAUGAAGUUCAUUGGUCGACUUACCAGUGCGAAGACUUGGUUUACAUAAAGAAACUUCCCAUUGCACUAGUUGUCUAUUAUGUGACUCAGUUGUCUGGAUUUUGCUGUUCCAUGUAAUAAAUUUGCAAUCAUU